AAGGAGCUUAUUCAACAAUGGCGCUGGUGGCAAUGAAACAAAGUUUUUAAUUUUCGCAUGUAAAAUUGAAAUCAGCAAGCAGGGAAGGUAUUUUUCAUUUACAGGUAACAUAAUACAUGUAAGCCAGGUAGAAACAUGCGCUGAAAGAGACGGGGACGUCAUCGCUAACAAAAAUGUGACCAGCGCCAUUCAGAUAUCAUGCUAGUUUUUUGAACAACAACAAUGAGCGGCCCGCCGGAAAACGUCAAUCGAACGUCUCGUAAAAUGGCUUAUGGUAGGAAUGUAGUUGUCAACGUCAAGGGUCGUGGUAGAUUUGUUGGAGGAUGAAAAUGGACGUCGAACGGAUGUUAAACUUAAGAAUGUGCUGUACGUGCCUAAGGCUGGCUUCAGGAUGUGAUCGGAACUAAAACCACGACAAAACGGCACAGCAAGUGGGGCAAUAGAUUGCUGCUCGGUCGAAACGGAAGCGGUGACGAAACGCAUGACGGCAAGGCGACCAGUAUGCUCUAAAAUCAAGUUUGCCUUGGACGCAAGUCAGGACAGAAUACCAGAGGUCCUAAUGAAACCGAGUACGAUACUACACUAUGACUCUUGGAGAAUACGUCGUUAUUAAUCCCUGAAGCAUGAGAUGCAUAGUAAAAUCCAUUCUGACUGAAAUUACCGACUAUGGAAGAAAUAUGUAGUUAACAAAUAACGUCCUUUCAGGAUGCAGACAACCCGUGUUGUUAAUUAGUGUACAUUUGCUAGGAUGGAAGGAACAUACCAAUUAAGUAUUAACAUCGUACUAUGCUCACAGGGCUGAUAGCGAGUCACUUAUUAGUGACUUGGUAAAUUUUCGGACCUGGCCACUAAAAAGUCACUAGUAACUUUUUUCAUUAAAAAAAUGGUAACUAAAGUCACAAUUUUCGUGGUCUGAUAAUGAAUAAACGAUAAUCUGGAUCAGCUUCUUAAGCUUUUUGUUAUUCUAAUGCAAACAUUCUUUGCUAACUAUCUGCUAGAUUCAGGUGAAUGUUGCGCAGACAUUUUUGACAGAAUAUCUGGAAUUUAUUUGUUGGGUUUUGUUAAUAAGUUCUAGGUAUUUUUUGAAAGUUAAGUGUCAUCAUAAUUUCUGACCACCAUAAUGAGCUUAUUUAGUGGUAAUAUCUGAUGAAAUCAUUAGAGAAUAGCCCGAAGGGAUUUUGACCUACUUUUUGAAGGAAACUCAACAGAAAGUAAUUCAUGAAAGAAGCCUUACACUUCA
Molecule: long non-coding RNA, 1240 nt
Organism: Aedes aegypti (yellow fever mosquito)
Lineage: Eukaryota; Metazoa; Arthropoda; Insecta; Diptera; Culicidae
Exons: 4
Source: RefSeq, a predicted model, not a curated record